UCACUACACUCCAAAAAGAAAAACAACAAACAUGGUGGGCAGCGAGUGUGAUGAGAGAAAAGUACAACCUUGGGACGCUGAGGAAGUGCAGGCUCUAGUUUCACUGUGGCAGAUAGAAGUGUUCAGGAAGAUCUGGAGUCUUGCGUCAGAAAUGAGAAAGUUUAUGCCCGAAUUUGUGACGGUUUGAAGCAAAUGGACGUAAACCACGGUGGAAAAACAACCCAGGCUCCCCUGAACAGCACCGUGAGGGCUCGGUAUGGCCCUGGCAGGGCUUGGUUGUACAGUGGAAAAGAGGUAUUACAUCCUACAUACUGGAAUUAAAUGCAAAGCAGCCAGAGACCUGGCCCCUGGGUCACAAGUAAUCACUAGCUGAGCUGUUAUAAAUAUCUCUUGGCUCUAUAUAAUUGCUCAUAGGUACAGUACUUUACCAGUAAUGACUUUAGGUUGUAUUAGACUGUGCCAAGAAGCCCCAGAUGUAGACACCUUGACAGGAUAAUAAAGGACAGACUGAUCUUCACCAAGAUCACUAUUUCCAGGAAUGUACGACACAUUCUUGGAUUUUGUUUGAUUUCUUUUAGUUGUAUUUCUUUUUUUAAAUGUAUUUAUUGUAUCCUUGUCCAUAUGGUUUAUAAGUGUUACACUCUACAGGCUGUACUUGGAGAAUCUUCCACCAAACAAUGCACCAAAUGUUCCUUGCUAUCCUGGGAUCAAAAGGGUUUAAAUGUUGAAGGCGUACAAUUACAGAUUUCCCUGUUGAAUUCUGAUUUCACCUUGCUUGUUUCCUUAGAAAUGCAUAGUCUGUGCAGUGAAUUGUGAUUAAACUCAGCAUUAGCUCUUAAGGUAGCUCUAAGGAAAUGUCACAUGUAGGUGAUGAAUCAGUUGCAUGUGCUAGUUUUGAGAUAAGCAGCUUUUAACUGUGGAAGUUAAAUGCCAUGAUUGAUUCUUAAUUGUAAAGGUGAGGGAAAGGCAGCUUUUCUUGUUGUGAAAUGAACACAUUUAUUAAUAGGCUUGUUUGGUUUCAUUUGAUACCUGCAGACAAAAAAAAAAAAACAUCUUAAAGGGAAUUACUCCAAGUAUCUGCACAUCCCUAGUUCUUUUCAUAUAUUUAGUGUAACUUACUGAUUGCUAAUGGGUAAGGCUGUAUUUUUUUCACAGUAAUCAUCGAUUUCACGAUUUCUGUGAAAUGUACCUAUUGCCAUUUAAUAUGUCGUUCCCCGUGAAAAUUUGAAUUUCUGAAAGAAUAGUGUCAAUAUUAGAGUUUUGCAUCACCUAAAAUUUUAGGAUUGAGACAUGAUCCAAAAAAAAAAAAAGUAGAGGAACAUCAUUUAGAUCUUUUAUUUAACACCAUUUAAUCAAAGAAACUACAAAAUAAUAUUUCAAAAGUCUACCGGAAGCCAUAAUAGUAGUACUGUAUUUAAUUUUUCUCAGUUUUUCGUUAAAUAUAUGGAAAACUACAAAGCGGUGUGUAAUUCAAUAUGUAACAUAACAUAAUUCAGCGUGUUUCAUUCAACUCUAUGAUCCAAAAUGAGUUAUUUUAUAGGAUGAUGCAAAACUUUUGGCCAUAGCUGUAUAGAUAGAUAGAUAGAUAGAUAGAUAGAUAGAUAGAUAUAAUCACUUAAAAAUAAAUACACCAAACGAUUGCCUUAUUGACACACUACCUGUCACUGCAUUUAGGAACCUGGCAGCCAGUUUAGUUUGCUUCCGGUAAAUGAUUGCACAAUUUGCACAAAAAAUUGCUGCACAAUUUUUUGUGAUUCAACAUUUACUGUUUUAUCAGUUAAGCAUUUCAAUAUUUAGGAACAUUUGUUGUAAAUAACUCUAGAGAAAAUGAUACAUUUUGAAUGUGACAAUGCUAUUUUUUUCUGCUUUAAUAUUGGAUGUUGUGUUUUUGUAAAUAAAGUUUGCUGUAUUUUGAAUUUGAAUUUGGCAGGGAUGGGGUGAAAAUCCCAUCCUUGUGGAAUCCAUGUGCAGAAUGUGAUCAAGCUGGAUAGGCAAUGAAUGAAUGAAUCUCGCUUGAUGACAGAUCUAGGAGGAGAUGUGGUGAGAAGCAUGAGUUAGUUUGUUAAGACAUAGGGCUGAGAGGAGCAGGUUGCGCUCUCUGUCCUGCACCGAGCUAGCCUUUGCUUGAGUGCUGUUUAGUUUUGUUUAACUGUUUAUUACGUUUGUUUUGUAAAUGUUAAACGUGUGCUACCUAGCCCUGACUGCAACACUACUCUUCCACAAUGGCCAGUCAUGACAUUUUACCACGUUUUCUCCCCAACAUUUUUUUAACCAAUUCUUGUGCGCUAAUUUUACUUGCUUUGUUUCUCCAAAGGUGAUUAAAUGUACCGUAAUUGUUUAUUAAGUUUCCUUAAAUUGUUACAGAACCCCUAGCAGUGUUUACAAGAAGCAUGUUACAUCACUGUUGCUAUAUAUCCUGUGUUGUCCAUACCACAUUCAGUCCCAAUAGUUUAGAUUUUUUGUGUAUAUUCACACAGAAUGGGUAAAUAAACUAGUGAAUUUGUUAUUUUCAUUUUUUACUAAAGACAUUUGCCAGGAGAAAGAUUUUUUCUUCUAUAUAUUGUGGCGUAUCCAGUUCAUGUUCCCUAAUGCAACAAUGCUGGUGCUCUUAUGAGUGGCGUAUUGAGGGAACAGAACAUGAUCUGGAUAUUCUGUGUUCUUUAGAAUCCUUUUUUUUUUCUCCUGGUGAACACUAUUGAGUAAAUGUUGAGAAAAGAUAAGGUAAUGUGUUUUUUGUAAACUUUGUAGGGUGUUCUGUUCCACUUUAAGAUUCAGUCAUUGUACUUUAUGUUACUUGUAUUUUGUUCAGCAUCCCGUUCAGUUACAGUUCAUUAUAUAAUAGCAUGAGUGUAUGAGAGAAUAAUUCCAAAUUAAAGCUUAUUACAUAGAACUUG
Long non-coding RNA from Acipenser ruthenus (sterlet), 2894 nucleotides. RefSeq lists it as uncharacterized. The record is from RefSeq and is a predicted model, not a curated record. NCBI's taxonomy places the organism in Eukaryota, Metazoa, Chordata, Actinopteri, Acipenseriformes, Acipenseridae. The transcript is spliced from 2 exons.